Molecule: transfer RNA, 68 nt
Filed under: Lagothrix lagotricha (brown woolly monkey)
Lineage: Eukaryota; Metazoa; Chordata; Mammalia; Primates; Atelidae
Also listed under: 1 other name
Description: tRNA-Pro
Rfam family: tRNA
About the family: Transfer RNA (tRNA) molecules are approximately 80 nucleotides in length. Their secondary structure includes four short double-helical elements and three loops (D, anti-codon, and T loops).
Source: RNAcentral
CAGGGGAUAGUUUAAUAUAGAAUAUCAGCUUUGGGUGUUGAUGGUAGAGUGAGAGAUUCUUUCCCUGA